This 253-nucleotide ribosomal RNA is filed under the name uncultured bacterium. Its description in RNAcentral is "partial 16S ribosomal RNA". It matches the Rfam family "Bacterial small subunit ribosomal RNA", at positions 524 to 776 of the family's 1533-position model. The record is from RNAcentral.
UACGUAGGGUGCGAGCGUUGUCCGGAAUUAUUGGGCGUAAAGGGCUCGUAGGCGGUUUGUCGCGUCGGGAGUGAAAACACCGGGCUUAACUCGGUGCUGGCUUUCGAUACGGGCAGACUAGAGGUAUGCAGGGGAGAACGGAAUUCCUGGUGUAGCGGUGAAAUGCGCAGAUAUCAGGAGGAACACCGGUGGCGAAGGCGGUUCUCUGGGCAUGUCCUGACGCUGAGGAGCGAAAGUGUGGGGAGCAAACAGG